This 483-nucleotide ribosomal RNA is filed under the name uncultured bacterium. Its description in RNAcentral is "partial 16S ribosomal RNA". It matches the Rfam family "Bacterial small subunit ribosomal RNA", at positions 899 to 1397 of the family's 1533-position model. The record is from RNAcentral.
ACUCAAAGGAAUAGACGGGGGCCCGCACAAGCAGCGGAGCGUGUGGUUUAAUUCGAAGCAACACGAAGAACCUUACCUAGGCUUGACAUGCACCUGCGGUCAGGGGAAACUCUGGCGCCUUCGAGGGUGGUGCACCGGUGCUGCAUGGCUGUCGUCAGCUCGUGUCGUGAGAUGUUGGGUUAAGUCCCGCAACGAGCGCAACCCUUGCCCCGUGUUAUGAGUGUCACGGGGGACUGCCGUGGUGUAACCACGGAGGAAGGCGGGGAUGACGUCAAGUCCGCAUGGCCCCUACGCCUAGGGCUACACACACGCUACAAUGCAGGGAGGAGUGCGUUGCGACCUCGCAAGGGGGAGCUAAUCGGCAAGACCCUGCGUAGUGCAGAUUGGGGGCUGCAACUCGCCCCCAUGAAGACGGAGUUGCUAGUAACCGCGUGUCAGCAAAGCGCGGUGAAUACGUACCCGGGCCUUGUACACACCGCCCGU